UGAGCUCAGUGCACAUCUUUGUCAUUCUAGGCAAAGGACUCCUCCCUUACGUGUGGGGGGUACGUUCCAGGCUCCCCCAGUGGAUGCGUACAAACCAAGGGUAGUACCAAACUGUAUAUAACCUAUGUUUUUUCCCAUACUGAUAUACCUAUGACAAAGUGUAACUCAUAAAUCAGGCACAAGAAGAGAUUCACAAUAAUAACUAUAAGGUAGAAUAAUGAUCACAAUUUACUGUAAUAAGUGAAUGUAGUCUCUCUCUCUCAAAACAUCCUGUUUUACAGCGCACAUCCUGCUGUGACUUGCGAUGACAUGAGAUAAUGAAAUGCCUACAUGAGGAGAUGCAGUUGGGGAAUGACGUAGGCACGUGACCUGAGGCAGCAUUACCAUUGACCUUCUGAAUCUGCGUCAAAAGGAGCAUCAUAUGCUUCGGAACCACGGUUGGCCACAGGCUCAUCUCUUCCCCUGAAAGGCUAGAGGGAAAGUCCAAGGUACUGAAUGCCAUUCAUGAGAAAAGAAAGACAUGGGCUCGAUUGGUCGAUCUCCUCCAACUAGACAACUCGUGUGGUGUUUGACAAUUGCCAAUUGUCAGAAUGAGGCCCGGACCAUUCAAACCUUCCUUCCUCAUUAGAUUGCAAGUCUUCAGAGGAGAGAAAACACCAUAUUGGGAAAUUGGAUGCCAAAGAGAAGACAUUCACAAGAGAGAGAGAGCACGUGGAGAGGAGCAGAGG
Long non-coding RNA from Hyaena hyaena (striped hyena), 728 nucleotides. RefSeq lists it as uncharacterized. The record is from RefSeq and is a predicted model, not a curated record. Lineage: Eukaryota; Metazoa; Chordata; Mammalia; Carnivora; Hyaenidae. The transcript is spliced from 3 exons.